Transfer RNA from Camelus ferus (Wild Bactrian camel), 73 nucleotides. It matches the Rfam family "tRNA". From Rfam's summary of the family: Transfer RNA (tRNA) molecules are approximately 80 nucleotides in length. Their secondary structure includes four short double-helical elements and three loops (D, anti-codon, and T loops). The record is from Rfam. NCBI's taxonomy places the organism in Eukaryota, Metazoa, Chordata, Mammalia, Artiodactyla, Camelidae.
GAGGGUAUAGCUCAAGUGGUAGAGUGCAUGCUUAGCAUGCACGAGGUCCUGGGUUCAAUCCCCAGUACCUCCU